ACAAAGGCUCUUUUAAGAGCCAAUCCAUGUACACUAAAAAGAGCUGU
Regulatory RNA element from Podiceps cristatus (great crested grebe), 47 nucleotides. It matches the Rfam family "Histone 3' UTR stem-loop". From Rfam's summary of the family: The mRNAs of metazoan histone genes lack a poly-A tail. NCBI's taxonomy places the organism in Eukaryota, Metazoa, Chordata, Aves, Podicipediformes, Podicipedidae. The record is from Rfam.